Psammomys obesus (fat sand rat) is the source of this 102-nucleotide small nuclear RNA. The record is from RefSeq and is a predicted model, not a curated record. NCBI's taxonomy places the organism in Eukaryota, Metazoa, Chordata, Mammalia, Rodentia, Muridae.
CCGCUCCCUCAGCACAUAUACUAAAAUUGUAACGAUGCAGAGAAGAUUAGCAUGGCCCUUGCACAAGCAGUCAUUUUGUUCUGAUGACAGUGUCCUUUGUUU